CAGAAAAAUAAGCUAAUUUUAAGCUAUUGGACUCAUAAUUCAAAUAUAGAAUAAUCUUUUUUCU
RNAcentral lists this transfer RNA (64 nucleotides) under Freysuila caesalpiniae. RNAcentral's name for it is "tRNA-Met". The record is from RNAcentral. Lineage: Eukaryota; Metazoa; Arthropoda; Insecta; Hemiptera; Psyllidae.